Molecule: ribosomal RNA, 516 nt
Filed under: Streptomyces parvisporogenes
Lineage: Bacteria; Bacillati; Actinomycetota; Actinomycetes; Kitasatosporales; Streptomycetaceae
Description: bacterial SSU rRNA
Rfam family: Bacterial small subunit ribosomal RNA
Source: RNAcentral
GAUGAAGCCUUUCGGGGUGGAUUAGUGGCGAACGGGUGAGUAACACGUGGGCAAUCUGCCCUGCACUCUGGGACAAGCCCUGGAAACGGGGUCUAAUACCGGAUAAUACCUGCCGAGGCAUCUCGGUGGGUUGAAAGCUCCGGCGGUGCAGGAUGAGCCCGCGGCCUAUCAGCUUGUUGGUGGGGUGAUGGCCUACCAAGGCGACGACGGGUAGCCGGCCUGAGAGGGCGACCGGCCACACUGGGACUGAGACACGGCCCAGACUCCUACGGGAGGCAGCAGUGGGGAAUAUUGCACAAUGGGCGAAAGCCUGAUGCAGCGACGCCGCGUGAGGGAUGACGGCCUUCGGGUUGUAAACCUCUUUCAGCAGGGAAGAAGCGAAAGUGACGGUACCUGCAGAAGAAGCGCCGGCUAACUACGUGCCAGCAGCCGCGGUAAUACGUAGGGCGCAAGCGUUGUCCGGAAUUAUUGGGCGUAAAGAGCUCGUAGGCGGCUUGUUGCGUCGGAUGUGAAAGC